UUCAAGCUGUUCACAGAUGGAGUAGGUUUGACAAAUAUGUUUAGAAUUAGGUGAAAGAAAUACAAAGCUAGUGCUUGCACUUGGACUCAGAAAAAUUGAGAAAUGCAAGUGUAUGUUGUAAGCAGUAUUAUAAGGAUUUUCUGAAAAUAAAUUGAAAAGCACUUUCUCUCCUCAUACGUUAUUUAGAAAGGUGAAUGAACAAAACAUGGCUUUCUUAAAUACUUGUCAUGAGUGUGUUUCAGUUACAGAGGAGGAGAGUCAAUACUGCUCGGACACAGCCUGCAAGGAAAAUAUGAACAUUCUGACGGGGUCACUAAGCUGAGUCCACAACAACUUGAACAGUACAUCACCUACUCAG
Long non-coding RNA from Protopterus annectens (West African lungfish), 358 nucleotides. RefSeq lists it as uncharacterized. NCBI's taxonomy places the organism in Eukaryota, Metazoa, Chordata, Ceratodontiformes, Protopteridae. The record is from RefSeq and is a predicted model, not a curated record. The transcript is spliced from 3 exons.